Molecule: long non-coding RNA, 2077 nt
Organism: Felis catus (domestic cat)
Lineage: Eukaryota; Metazoa; Chordata; Mammalia; Carnivora; Felidae
Exons: 4
Source: RefSeq, a predicted model, not a curated record
UAUGUCUGCUCAGGGCGACUCAUUAAAAGCACCCGACUAGAGUCCUGAAGCCGCUAUAAUUCCCACUGCCUCCCACCAUUACCACUUUAUCAGCUUCAGAGGGAAGGUCCAUUUAUUCUUCAAAAAGGCCCACUCCUGAUGUGUGUUGUUCCCUUUUCUUGACUUGUAGAACCACACCAGGAUCAUUCAGUUAAUUUUGGAUGGAGGUGCAUGGCAAUACAUCUCCUGAGGCAGGAGAUUGAAGCUUGACCUUGCACUUCUGUGCCUGACACUUCUAGGCCUUCAUCUUUCUUCGAGGCAACAACAUACUAUUACAGAUGAGGCCUCCUGACUCCAACAGAAGUAUUCGAAGCCCAUGGAAAACCUCACAAAUCCUAGAGAGAGUUAAAGAGGUGGUGAUAUUAAAGCAAACACUUUCCUGCUGUCCAAACAGACACGCCGUGGUUCUGAAUUCUGAUGGAAAGGAGGAACUUCAGACAGCGGCUGAGUGAGGUGACUUUCAUGCUCUGUUGCUGUCCCGCCAAAGGCACUUGAACCUUUCCAGGCCUCAGUCUUCCUCUGUAAGAUGGUAAUAAUAUCUUUAGUUUUAUCCUACAGAACUUUUCAGAGACUCAUAAGAUUUUUAUGGAAAAGGACCUUGAAAAGAAUUCAGGACAAAGUAAAUAUAUUUCCUCUUCGAAGGAGAAGUCAGCCCAAUGUCAACAAAGGUCUUUCUAUUAGAAUGUUGGUGUUGGCAUUCUGGUCUCAUUUCUUUCUCUCAGUGUUUUCUCUCCUUUGUUUCUUUCAUUGUUUAGAAUGCACUGUGCACUAUCUAUUUUUAGUCUCUUCUAGGUGGUAAUUUCCAUUCUCCUGUCCCGGGCUAUAAACACUUGGGGCAAAACAGCACCCGAGACUCCAAGAGAUAACAUUUAAGAAGAGUCUUUUGAAAAUUUGAUAGUUGGAACUCAUUAGUCUCCUACUGAAGGGGCAAAGCCAUCUUGAGUUACUGGAGAAUAGUUUUUAUAUUCAGUUUGAUUUCAUUCCUGAUAACUUAAUUGUUAUAGUGAUUUGUUUAUAAUAUUGAAAUUACCUCUCAACUCAGUCAGUAAUGAUUUAUUUUGAUAUUAUAAAAAGUCAUUAAAGGUAAGAUAAUACUCUUUCUUCUGUUACUUUGCUAUUUUCCUAAAGAUAAUUGCCUUAGGAUUUAUAGUUCUCCUAUUCCUAAAAUAAGAAUAUUUGCCCACACAAAACUAUUUGCCUAGCUCUAAGAAAAUAUUAUCUAUAUAGACUUUUUUUUUCUGUAGCAAGAAAUAUACUUGAAUGCUGAACACUUUCACUCCGGAUUUAAUCUCUACUGAGAACAACACAGGUUGUCCAUGUGAAGAUAGGGAGCUGGCAUAGUAGAAUGAGUAGUAGCAUUUAAUGGUGGGAUGUGGCAUGAUGGGUGUAGUUGGAAUUGUUAGUACUUUGCAUGAGGAUUUGUAUCUGUUUCUUUUCUUUUGUAAAGGCUGCUAAAAGGGCUUUUCCACAGAUAAGCAGAGUUACCAGAUUACCCCUGAUUGGUUGAAGUAGCAGAUGCUGUCAAGGCCCUUCCCACAUCUCCUCAGCCUUAACUAUUUCAUUGCCUGCCAGUCCAACUUUAAAUGCCAGAAAUUGCAUCUGAGGGCUUUCUCUGGCUACCUGAGUCAAUUCUGAAGUGUGUUCGGCAGUAUUUCCCCCAGUUUCCAGUGGAAUUGAGCUCACAUUGCCUCCAAUGGUAACUUCAUGGUAAUGCCCCUUCUGUUGGCUUCCUUUCCUUUCCUGUCUCACUUCCCCCACUCUCUUUCUGGUGUUUUCUGGGAUCACUUCCCAAAAAACUACUUGCACUGAGAUUCUUGACUCAGAGUUUGCAUCUGGAGGAAUUCAAAGUAGGACAGUUGGGAGUCUAGAUUCUCUGUCCAUACAAGUAUGUUUAGGGAGGGAGGAUGACAGCUGAAUCAAUAAAGGGAUCAUAGGAGGAUGGUGAGUGACUUUGUCGAUUCUGAUCAGACAACUGUUCUUGAGGGCUGUGAUUGCAUCUGGGAGAAAGCUUUCUGCUUUUAAGUAAAGAGGCAGGUGG